This is a non-coding RNA of Vicia faba (fava bean), 270 nucleotides long. Lineage: Eukaryota; Viridiplantae; Streptophyta; Magnoliopsida; Fabales; Fabaceae. The record is from the annotation of a GenBank genome assembly.
AUGAAUGGAGGAAGUGAGAGUGAAGGGUUGAAGAUGAAGAUGGAGAGAGAAAGAAGAAUGAAGGUGAGUGAUGAAAAAUCUGGUAAAAAAAGAAUCCUCCUCCCUAGAUUGAAGGGGAAAGCAACUUUAUAUGGUUGGUUAAAGUGUGAAGAGUUAGUUACAGAUACAGAAAUCAGAGCCAUUAGAUCAGGAGUUAGUUGGAAGCAAUGGAGGGUGAGGAUCGAAUCACUUGAAGGGCUUUUUGGAUUAAUGUGUUUGGAUUGCUUCUGA